Molecule: long non-coding RNA, 515 nt
Organism: Catharus ustulatus (Swainson's thrush)
Lineage: Eukaryota; Metazoa; Chordata; Aves; Passeriformes; Turdidae
Exons: 3
Source: RefSeq, a predicted model, not a curated record
GCGUGCUGGGUACUGAAACGGCCGUGUGGUGCUUCCGUGGGCAUCCAGCAGCUCCUGCGGUUGUUUUUCCGUGGAUUAAUUACUUCAAAUGCAUGACUUGGCAGAGGAUUGAAACCACAUGCAGGAACUCCACUGCCAAGGACUGCCAGGACUGCAGCAUCUGCUUAUCACUGUGAUGGUCAACUCAACACAGCCAGGGACUUACAGAGACGUCUUCAUCACCACACUUUGGUUUUGUCUGCAUUUAGGAAGAAGGAGAAGAAAAUGCAGCUGCUUCCUGUGACAUCCAGCAGGAGCAAUGGCAAGUGAUGAAAGGCAGCAAGAAAUAGAGCAGAGUCAGGAUCUUUUACUUCAUAUUAGCAGCUCCAUGUCAGAUUGGGGACCUACCACUUUACCAGACCACAGACCACCACUGCUGUGAGGAAAGCAAACUGUGAUGCAAGAGCUAUUUUUUCAUUGGGCAGUUGAUCUGCAGAUAAUGACUUGGGGUUUGGUUUGUAAAGUGUUUUAUUAAA